ACGAAUGCGACGAUCAGGAGAAGUACGUCAGGUUACACGUUUACAGAGAGGAUGGUGGGGUGAGAGCCAUCCAGCGUGCCCUGUUCGGAAAUGCACCUGUGAGCAGUGAGCUGAACAUGUCGAACUCUUCGGACGACACCAGUAGGUGACAUCGGUUCCCGCCGUUAUCGGGAAGUAGAGCGAGAUCGUUUGUCUGGCCGUUUUUAGCCAGAGGACACAGCGAUCUAAGCAGAGUGGAACCGCGGUAUAACCCGUCUCUGUC
RNAcentral lists this non-coding RNA (262 nucleotides) under Brevibacillus parabrevis. RNAcentral's name for it is "T-box sequence". It matches the Rfam family "T-box leader". From Rfam's summary of the family: Uncharged tRNA acts as the effector for transcription antitermination of genes in the T-box leader family. T-boxes are found upstream of many aminoacyl-tRNA synthetase genes and some amino acid biosynthetic genes usually in Gram-positive bacteria. The anticodon of a specific tRNA base pairs to a specifier sequence within the T-box motif, and the NCCA acceptor tail of the tRNA base pairs to a conserved bulge in the T-box antiterminator hairpin. The record is from RNAcentral. Lineage: Bacteria; Bacillati; Bacillota; Bacilli; Caryophanales; Paenibacillaceae.